GUAGGAAGGUCGGAUCAUGGCGAAACUUGGUUUGCUGGAUUCUAGACUUCAUGAGGAAUCCACGAAGCCCUAAAUUGCAUAAUUUUGUUGAGGUUAGCUUAGUCGAACUCAAGUUUUACUCUACUGCUAUUGUAUUUGGAUAGAAUUGUGGGUUUUUGAAUUGUUCUUGAUGCUAUCUUUGGAAGCAGUGGGGUUUUGAACCUGAGGCACAUCCUUCAUCAUCAUCCACUGGAUUUGGGACUGUCCUCACCUGAAUUGGAGACCUUUAGGUGAGUUUUGACAUUGGAGUUAAGAUAAUUAAGCUUAAGUGCUGAAAUUUUGGUGAAUUGAUGGAUUUUGAUGGAUUUUGGGUGUAGAUCUUUUGAGUAGCUUGGUUGCUGGUUGUGAGUGAUUCCAGCUGAGACUUCCUGCAAUUGUGGCCUUCUUGCUGCUAGGGAAUUGCUCUCGAGGUGGGUUUGCAUCGGAUUACUCCUGAGUAAAUGAGUAGAUGUAUAGUCGACAUGUAUGCUUGUUGUUCGGUCUACAAUGUGAUUAGAUUAAAUUCAGUAAUAAGCUAUGGCUGUAACCUGAAUUUAAGCAUGCUUAAUAAGUGACAUUUAUACAUGUUGGACUUGG
This 615-nucleotide long non-coding RNA is filed under the name Ananas comosus (pineapple). RNAcentral describes it as "long non-coding RNA (ACOM_LNC035389)". The record is from RNAcentral. Lineage: Eukaryota; Viridiplantae; Streptophyta; Magnoliopsida; Poales; Bromeliaceae.